Molecule: ribosomal RNA, 473 nt
Filed under: uncultured bacterium
Lineage: Bacteria
Description: partial 16S ribosomal RNA
Rfam family: Bacterial small subunit ribosomal RNA
Source: RNAcentral
GAUAAACGCUGGCGGCGCACAUAAGACAUGCAAGUUGAACGGACUUAAUCGAAAUAUUUAUAUUUUGAAGCGGUUAGUGGCGGACUGGUGAGUAACGCGUAAGGAACCUGCCUAUUAGAGGGGAAUAACAGUGAGAAAUCAUUGCUAAUACCGCAUAUGCCAUAGAUAUCACAUGAUAACAGUGGGAAAGGAGCAAUCCGCUAAUAGAUGGCCUUGCGUCUGAUUAGAUAGUUGGUGGGGUAACGGCCUACCAAGUCGACGAUCAGUAGCCGGACUGAGAGGUUGAACGGCCACAUUGGGACUGAGAUACGGCCCAGACUCCUACGGGAGGCAGCAGUCGGGAAUAUUGCGCAAUGGAGGAAACUCUGACGCAGUGACGCCGCGUAUAGGAAGAAGGUUUUCGGAUUGUAAACUAUUGUCGUUAGGGAAGAGAAAGGACGGUACCUAAGGAGGAAGCUCCGGCUAACUACGUG